UGGUCAAGUUAUUAAGGGUGCAGGGCGGAUGCCUUGGCACUAGGAGCCGAUGAAGGACGUGAUAAGCUGCGAUAAGCUUCGGGGAGUUGCACGUAAACUUUGAUCCGAAGAUUUCCGAAUGAGGAAACUCACUUAGAGUAAUGUCUAAGUAUCAUUAAGUGAAUACAUAGCUUAAUGA
RNAcentral lists this ribosomal RNA (178 nucleotides) under Clostridioides difficile. RNAcentral's name for it is "partial 23S ribosomal RNA". It matches the Rfam family "Bacterial large subunit ribosomal RNA", at positions 1 to 177 of the family's 2925-position model. The record is from RNAcentral. Lineage: Bacteria; Bacillati; Bacillota; Clostridia; Peptostreptococcales; Peptostreptococcaceae.